This 112-nucleotide microRNA precursor is filed under the name Capsella rubella. RNAcentral describes it as "MIR390 microRNA precursor family". It matches the Rfam family "MIR390 microRNA precursor family". Lineage: Eukaryota; Viridiplantae; Streptophyta; Magnoliopsida; Brassicales; Brassicaceae. The record is from Rfam by way of RNAcentral.
GAGAAGAAUCUGUAAAGCUCAGGAGGGAUAGCGCCAUGAUGAUCACUAUUCACAUAAUCAAUAUGAUGAUUAUAUUUGGCGCUAUCCAUCCUGAGUUUCAUUGGCUCUUCUU